UCUACGGGAGGCAGCAGUGAGGAAUAUUGGUCAAUGGCCGGAAGGCUGAACCAGCCAUGCCGCGUGAAGGUCAGUGCCCUAUGGGCGUUAAACUUCUUUUGUGCGGGAGCAAUAAUGGUCACGUGUGGCCAGACGAGAGUACCGUACGAAUAAGCAUCGGCUAACUCCGUGCCAGCAGCCGCGGUAAUACGGGGGAUGCAAGCGUUAUCCGGAUUUAGUGGGUUUAAAGGGUGCGUAGGCUGUGAGGUAAGUCAGCGGUGAAAUGCCCCCGCUCAACGGGGUGAAGUGCCAUUGAUACUGCCUUGCUGGAAUGCGGAUGCGGUGGGAGGAAUGUGUGGUGUAGCGGUGAAAUGCAGAGAUAUCACACAGAACACCGAUUGCGAAGGCAUCUCACGAAUCCGCGAUUGACGCUGAUGCACGAAAGCGUGGGUAUCAAACAGGAUUAGAUACCCUUGUAGUC
Molecule: ribosomal RNA, 460 nt
Filed under: uncultured bacterium
Lineage: Bacteria
Description: partial 16S ribosomal RNA
Rfam family: Bacterial small subunit ribosomal RNA
Source: RNAcentral